Homarus americanus (American lobster) is the source of this 1015-nucleotide long non-coding RNA. RefSeq lists it as uncharacterized. The record is from RefSeq and is a predicted model, not a curated record. Lineage: Eukaryota; Metazoa; Arthropoda; Malacostraca; Decapoda; Nephropidae. The transcript is spliced from 2 exons.
CGUGUAGCCCUCGCCGGCGACGGACGUGUGCAGGUGUGCUCCCUCGGCAGUGCUCUUGGUAGUGAGGCCUGACACUUGUGCCUCCUCCCCCCCACGACGUGUUGUGUGUGCUGGUGGUGCCAUCCUCUCACCCCCCGCCCCCCUCUGGAUGUGAGAUAAACAUGGAAGCAAGUUAGGAAUUAAGAUAACCAAGAAGACAUUUAGUGGAAUAACUCGUGUGAGGAGAACAACGAGGAGGUGGUGAGAGAACAAGACACUGAGAGAAAACCAGCAGUGUGUUAGUGAGAGAACAAGACAUAAUAUAAACCAACAGCUUAAACCAACCACAGCUAAAACACUACACCAACAGCUAAAAUAAACCAACCAGAGCUAAAACACUACACCAACAGCUAAAAUAAACCAUCCACAGCUAAAACACUAAACCAACAGCUAAAAUAAAACCAAAUAUUCUAGACUUAACCGAAAACCCAAGUGAAUGAACAAGUACUCAGCUAAUGAACAAGUACUAAAGCUAAUGAACAUGUACUAAAGCUAAUGAACAUGUACUUAAGCUAAUGAACAUGUACUAAAGCUAAUGAACAUGUACUCAAGCUCCUGUAAUUGUACUAAAUCAUGCAGUACAGUACACCAUUAUAAAGAUGAGAGAGAAAUGGAGAUAACUGAGAGAUGAAGAGAAGUAGAGAGGAGAGAAAUAGAGAGAAGUGAGAGAAAUAGAGAGAAGUGAGAGAAUCAAGAGAAAUACGGAGAAGUGAGAGAACUAGAGAAAAAGAAGAGAAAUAAAAGAGAAUGAAGAGAGAAUACAAUACAUAUGUAAACAAAAUAUGUGUACAGAAAGUGUCGAUGUGUACAGUAAGACAGUACCGUAAAUAGCACAGUACGUGAACAAUAACGAGUGAACAACGGUGAGAAUAAUAUGAACAAUACCGAGACCAAUAUGAACAAUAAUAAUGACAAAGUAAACAAUAACGAGUGAACAAUGUGAUCAAUAACGAGUGAACAAUGUGAACAAUAAUGA